This 3209-nucleotide unclassified non-coding RNA is filed under the name Hevea brasiliensis (rubber tree). Lineage: Eukaryota; Viridiplantae; Streptophyta; Magnoliopsida; Malpighiales; Euphorbiaceae. The record is from RNAcentral.
AAAGAAAAUAUGAGGAUAUUUUAAUUCAAUUUUAAAAUAGUAAAAAUUUAAUAAUAAUUAUAAAUAAACCUUAGUAAUUCAUGAGCCUAAGGUAAAUUACAUUAGAAGGAUUAAACCUUGUUAGAAUAUUAGAAGGAUGGCCUAAUCUGUUUGAAUUGCGUGAAUUAAAAAUCCUUGAUUUGCAUAAGCUGGUGUCCCUUCAUGGCUUUAAACCUACACAUUGCAUGGACCUACAACAGAGAAAUGGCACAGGGAUGGAUUUUCAUUGGCUUGGAAUGGUAUCUCCACAAAAUUUUCCAACCUUAUUGAGCUUAUAAUGCAUGCAUGCAUGCAUGCAUGUAUCACAGUCUCCAAUCGGGUCCCAACUUGCUACAAGGAAAAUGAUAUAAAGGCAAAAGAUAUAUCCCAGAUUCGAGGAUGGAUGAAAUAAUCAGCACACGAGGGCCAAUACAUAGCAAUUAACAUUGUGCAAACAAAAGAAAAUGAUAACGAUCCCAAUAAACAAGGGGCAAAAGGAGAAGAAAGAAAUAGGGAAUUCUGCUACGUGUAGCCCACACUCUGGACCAAGAAAAUGAUAAACUGAUAGAAAGGCGUUCCGAAGGUAUAAGUUGAGGACAUAUACAAACAGUGAUGUGACCCAAGAUUAGGACUUGUGAAGAUAAUGCCACAUUUGGAGAGAGAUAGGGUGAGGGAGAAAAACAUGGUGAUUCAUAAAUAAAGCACAAAGCAAAAUAUAAAAAGAAGGGCAACAAAAAAAAAAUCUGGGGCCUAGAUGAUGUUACUGUUGGGACAUGCUCAUAGCAGUAUCAAGGUUUCAUACCAGAAGAAAAAUAAAAAAAGAUUGUUUGUGAUCUAAUAUUCUUUCUGGAUUUGAUUUUCUUUCGAGUUUCAGACAAAAGACCAGUUAAUGAACAUGAAGCAAAUGCAGUGAGCAGUCUCCUCUUCGUUUAACACUUUCCAUGCUACUGCUCUUUCAUAGGAAAUUGGCCUUCCCAUACUUGACAGGCAGAUACCACCCUGAAGGCACAUAAAGCCCUGCUAACAUAAUUGGCAGUAAGUUAAUCGACUGUAUUCAAAUAAAACACAAGAAAGGCAACUGCAGUGGCAAUUCUUUUCUCUUAAUGAAUCAAUGAUGUUGCUUGAUUAAUUAUGAGCUGACAACUUGAAGUAUCAGAGUUAGCACUCUCAGGCCACACUAAAAGCAGCAAAAUAUAAGGCUUUCAUUGAAAGAAACUGGGAGAGUUUAGGCUUUGAUUCAAGGUCUUUCUGCUCACAUUGUAUAUAUCCACUUGCCUAGAGUUAAAUUUUGACAGGUCCACUUACUUGUAUAUACUAAAGCAGUCUAGACAUUCGUGAUGUUUGGAAGAAUUUGAGUUUUCUUAGGUUCUCUUCUUUUUAUUGUACAGUGAUUUAAGUUUAAUGGAUUUCAUAGUACUAUACCUGCUGCAUUAUUUGCGGGAACUCUGAGCAUAAAGUUUUCCUUCCAUUGUCAUCAAAUAUCUUUUCCAAAGUGAUGUCUUGAAGAGCAACCAAAGUUGUCUCGAGCAUAUCUAGUCCUGCCUGAUUUGCAAAUGUAAAAACUGGCAGAGCCUGCAUGUAACAUUACACAUGUUUUAUCAUAUCUAAUGCAUACAUACAUAAAUAUCUAUGCGAUGAAAUAAUUUAAAGAAAAAAUAACAAAAUACUGGGAAAUAAAUAUAACAUGACCAUCAUAAAUACUAACAGUUCAUGAUUAGCAUGGUUGAUUUGUCAAUAGAUAUUUUUCCAAGCAGCUAAGCAGAUAGGCCAACAGCAGGAGAAGAUUUAAGAAGCUAACGCUUAGAGGACAGGGAAAGCACCAAUUGCAUUGUAGGAAAAAACCUUCAUAAUCUCUUAAUUAUUGUCCAUUUUUUUUCUUCCUUUUUGUCAAAACUAUGGUGCUUAGCAAAUUGAACAAAAUAAAUCUGCAAAAUAUCUAUAGGGAACAUAUGCUUUGGGUAUACGCAGAGAAUGAAAUGCAUCUACAAGUUGAAGAAAAUACCUUCAAAGAGCAGCACAUAACUGCAUCAGAGUGAUGCCAAAGUGAUUUCAGAAUGGAUUCACUUCCUUCACUUUUAAGUAGCUCCACACCUAGAUAGCACCUAUAGCUUUGACAUAUCCAACGAGCAAGUGUGUGCGCUUCUGGAGUGCCAGGUGGCGGCCGAAGACCAGCAUGGGAACCAAAACGAGAAGGAGAGAGGGCCAAUGCCACCCUUUGAACAGAUGCAAUAACGCUGCGGACAUACUGCCGAGCCAUGGAUGCUACAUUUUCUUGAAGGUGGAGUUCAAAUGCAAAUUGGAAUGCUAUUGUCAUCACUGAUUUUGAGCUCCCACAAUGGCCUGAAAAAUCACCAGAUGCUUUAUUUCCAGCAGGUCCAACGUCAAGAGCAGAGGCAAGGUCAAGUGUCCGGUUUGGGCUUGUAGCAUCCAUCCUGGAAUCAAGAGGAAUGAUGCGGAACCCUGAAGGAAUAAUAGGUGCAUCAUCCGAAAAAGAGGCAUCAAUGGGAGCAAAGAUGAGUUCAGCACAGGUACCAACAGCAUUCUCAUCUACUCCGCUACAAAGUUGCAAGAGGAAGAUGUCACCAGGCAUCAUCAUGUCCUCCCGAUAUCCCAUAUUUUCAAGUUUAAUUACCUCCAUAAACUCUUCAUGCUCAAUAGUGUGAGCCAACGGAAGAAUAACUUGACCCCCGAAAUUUCCAGCUCGAGACACUGGCAAGGUACAGGGACCAGCUUUAACAGCAGCAGCUGCAUAAGCAUCUAUACCACUGUCUGCCCAUUCUGAUCGAUGUUCACGCAGGAACCUAAGGAGUAUUGCUGGAGGCACAUUCUGUAACAACAUGGAUGCUUUUGCACAAAGCACACCAUUGCUCAUAGAUGGAAAUCCAUUAGCAUAAGAGAUAUUAAGACCCAUCAUUUUGCCAGGAGAUGAGUUCACAAGAACUGUAACAUCAUCAAUGCCAUCACUUUCCAACAUAGACCACCCAUCAUCAGUAAACCCAUUAACAGCUUCGUUAAAGCCCUUGCUUAGUCGCUGACUGAGUGCACGUAAAGCGGCAGGUCUUCUCCCCCAGCCAGAGGCAUUUGGCUGAGAAACUUCAUGAGAAAUUUGCCUCAAAUGUCGUAAAGCCGCCAUUGUUGUCUUCUGAGCUAGUAAUGUUGGUGACUCGUAAAGUGGGCGCAACACUUCAGGC